This 107-nucleotide small RNA is filed under the name Marmota monax (woodchuck). Lineage: Eukaryota; Metazoa; Chordata; Mammalia; Rodentia; Sciuridae. The record is from RNAcentral.
GCUGGUGGUGGUGGUGCAUACCUGUAAUUCUAGCAACUCAGGAGGCUGAAGCAGGAGGAUGGCAAGUUCCAGGCCAUCUGGGGCAUCUUAGCCAGAUUCUGUAUCAA